AGUGAACGCUGGCGGUAGGCCUAACACAUGCAAGUCGAACGGCAGCACAGUAAGAUCUUGCUCUUAAGGGUGGCGAGUGGCGGACGGGUGAGGAAUACAUCGCAAUCUACUUUUUCGGGGGGGAUAACGUAGGGAAACUUACGCUAAUACCGCAUACGACCUACGGGUGAAAGCAGUGGAUCUUCGCACCUUGCGCGAUUGAAUGAGCCGGUGCCGGAUUAGCUAGUUGGCUUGGUAAAGGCCCACCAAGGCGACGAUCCGUAGCUGGUCUGAGAGGAUGAUCAGCCACACUGGAACUGAGACACGGUCCAGACUCCUACGGGAGGCAGCUGUGGGGAAUAUUGGACAAUGGGCGCAAGCCUGAUCCAGCCAUACCGCGUGAGUGAAGAAGGCCUUCGGGUUGUAAAGCCCUUUUGUUGGGAAAGAAAAACAGCAGGUUAAUACCCCGCUGUUCUGACGGUACCUAAUGAAUAAGCACCGGCUAACUUCGUG
RNAcentral lists this ribosomal RNA (492 nucleotides) under uncultured bacterium. RNAcentral describes it as "partial 16S ribosomal RNA". It matches the Rfam family "Bacterial small subunit ribosomal RNA", at positions 29 to 507 of the family's 1533-position model. The record is from RNAcentral.